This 2902-nucleotide ribosomal RNA is filed under the name Shigella flexneri 1235-66. RNAcentral describes it as "bacterial LSU rRNA". It matches the Rfam family "Bacterial large subunit ribosomal RNA". The record is from RNAcentral. Lineage: Bacteria; Pseudomonadati; Pseudomonadota; Gammaproteobacteria; Enterobacterales; Enterobacteriaceae.
UAAGCGACUAAGCGUACACGGUGGAUGCCCUGGCAGUCAGAGGCGAUGAAGGACGUGCUAAUCUGCGAUAAGCGUCGGUAAGGUGAUAUGAACCGUUAUAACCGGCGAUUUCCGAAUGGGGAAACCCAGUGUGAUUCGUCACACUAUCAUUACGUGAAUACAUAGCGUAAUGAAGCGAACCGGGGGAACUGAAACAUCUAAGUACCCCGAGGAAAAGAAAUCAACCGAGAUUCCCCCAGUAGCGGCGAGCGAACGGGGAGCAGCCCAGAGUCUGAAUCAGCUUGUGUGUUAGUGGAACGGUCUGGAAAGUCCGACGGUACAGGGUGAUAGUCCCGUACACCAAAAUGCACAGGCUGUGAACUCGAAGAGUAGGGCGGGACACGUGGUAUCCUGUCUGAAUAUGGGGGGACCAUCCUCCAAGGCUAAAUACUCCUGACUGACCGAUAGUGAACCAGUACCGUGAGGGAAAGGCGAAAAGAACCCGGCGAGGGGAGUGAAAAAGAACCUGAAACCGUGUACGUACAAGCAGUGGGAGCCUCUUUAUGGGGUGACUGCGUACCUUUUGUAUAAUGGGUCAGCGACUUAUAUUCUGUAGCAAGGUUAACCGAAUAGGGGAGCCGAAGGGAAACCGAGUCUUAACUGGGCGUUAAGUUGCAGGGUAUAGACCCGAAACCCGGUGAUCUAGCCAUGGGCAGGUUGAAGGUUGGGUAACACUAACUGGAGGACCGAACCGACUAAUGUUGAAAAAUUAGCGGAUGACUUGUGGCUGGGGGUGAAAGGCCAAUCAAACCGGGAGAUAGCUGGUUCUCCCCGAAAGCUAUUUAGGUAGCGCCUCGUGAAUUCAUCUUCGGGGGUAGAGCACUGUUUCGGCUAGGGGGUCAUCCCGACUUACCAACCCGAUGCAAACUGCGAAUACCGAAGAAUGUUAUCACGGGAGACACACGGCGGGUGCUAACGUCCGUCGUGAAGAGGGAAACAACCCAGACCGCCAGCUAAGGUCCCAAAGUCACAGUUAAGUGGGAAACGAUGUGGGAAGGCACAGACAGCCAGGAUGUUGGCUUAGAAGCAGCCAUCAUUUAAAGAAAGCGUAAUAGCUCACUGGUCGAGUCGGCCUGCGCGGAAGAUGUAACGGGGCUAAACUGUGCACCGAAGCUGCGGCAGCGACACUAUGUGUUGUUGGGUAGGGGAGCGUUCUGUAAGCCGUUGAAGGUGUGUCGUGAGGCAUGCUGGAGGUAUCAGAAGUGCGAAUGCUGACAUAAGUAACGAUAAUGCGGGUGAAAAACCCGCACGCCGGAAGACCAAGGGUUCCUGUCCAACGUUAAUCGGGGCAGGGUGAGUCGACCCCUAAGGCGAGGCCGAAAGGCGUAGUCGAUGGGAAACAGGUUAAUAUUCCUGUACUUGGUGUUACUGCGAAGGGUGGACGGAGAAGGCUAUGUUAGCCGGGCGACGGUUGUCCCGGUUUAAGCAUGUAGGCGGAGGUUCCAGGUAAAUCCGGUACCUUUUUAACGCUGAGGUGUGAUGACGAGGCACUACGGUGCUGAAGUAACAAAUGCCCUGCUUCCAGGAAAAGCCUCUAAGCAUCAGGUAACACGAAAUCGUACCCCAAACCGACACAGGUGGUCAGGUAGAGAAUACCAAGGCGCUUGAGAGAACUCGGGUGAAGGAACUAGGCAAAAUGGUGCCGUAACUUCGGGAGAAGGCACGCUGAUAUGUAGGUGAAGUGAUUUACUCAUGGAGCUGAAAUCAGUCGAAGAUACCAGCUGGCUGCAACUGUUUAUUAAAAACACAGCACUGUGCAAACACGAAAGUGGACGUAUACGGUGUGACGCCUGCCCGGUGCCGGAAGGUUAAUUGAUGGGGUUAUCCGUAAGGAGAAGCUCUUGAUCGAAGCCCCGGUAAACGGCGGCCGUAACUAUAACGGUCCUAAGGUAGCGAAAUUCCUUGUCGGGUAAGUUCCGACCUGCACGAAUGGCGUAAUGAUGGCCAGGCUGUCUCCACCCGAGACUCAGUGAAAUUGAACUCGCUGUGAAGAUGCAGUGUACCCGCGGCAAGACGGAAAGACCCCGUGAACCUUUACUAUAGCUUGACACUGAACACUGGUCCUUGAUGUGUAGGAUAGGUGGGAGGCUUUGAAGUGUGGACGCCAGUCUGCAUGGAGCCAACCUUGAAAUACCACCCUUUAAUGGCUGGUGUUCUAACGUGGGCCCGUAAUCCGGGUUGCGGACAGUGUCUGGUGGGUAGUUUGACUGGGGCGGUCUCCUCCUAAAGAGUAACGGAGGAGCACGAAGGUUAGCUAAUCCUGGUCGGACAUCAGGAGGUUAGUGCAAAGGCAUAAGCUAGCUUGACUGCGAGAGUGACGGCUCGAGCAGGUGCGAAAGCAGGUCUUAGUGAUCCGGUGGUUCUGAAUGGAAGGGCCAUCGCUCAACGGAUAAAAGGUACUCCGGGGAUAACAGGCUGAUACCGCCCAAGAGUUCAUAUCGACGGCGGUGUUUGGCACCUCGAUGUCGGCUCAUCACAUCCUGGGGCUGAAGUAGGUCCCAAGGGUAUGGCUGUUCGCCAUUUAAAGUGGUACGCGAGCUGGGUUUAGAACGUCGUGAGACAGUUCGGUCCCUAUCUGCCGUGGGCGCUGGAGAAUUGAGGGGGGCUGCUCCUAGUACGAGAGGACCGGAGUGGACGCAUCACUGGUGUUCGGGUUGUCAUGCCAAUGGCAUUGCCCGGUAGCUAAAUGCGGAAGAGAUAAGUGCUGAAAGCAUCUAAGCACGAAACUUGCCCCGAGAUGAGUUCUCCCUGAGACUAUAAGUCUCCUGAAGGAACGUUGAAGACGACGACGUUGAUAGGUCGGGUGUGUAAGCGUAGCGAUACGUUGAGCUAACCGAUACUAAUGAACCGUGAGGCUUAACCU